UUCAAAGUUGUCACACUUAAUAGUUGCAUGCAAAAAUCACAAAUAACCAUACGAACAUCUUUCUAAAAUCAAAAAUCAAAAACUAGUGGCUGUUAGGAAAAACAAAAAAACAAAAAGGAAAAAGAAGAAAAAAAGUUGCCACUUCUCUUCUACAACAAUAAGAAUGAUUGCAUCGAUGCUCCUCAUCUUCAUGCCUAUUCUUCCUCGAUUGAUACUUUUUGCACCAAAGGGAUUGCUCGUUUACCAUAAAUUUAACUUCAUUUCUUCCAUUUAAAUUCAAAACUGUCAUGGUAGAUACCUUGAAAACCACCUUACAAAUGGAGUCCCAAUUUUACCCCCUCUCGAUCGCAAAACUAUUCUUUCCACACAGUCUCCAUAUUUCCUGUUCAUAUAUCAUCAUCAAAUUAAUGCAGAACAAAUAAACAGUAAGAGGUAGGAAAAAAGUGAAAAAAAAAAAAAAAAAAAAGCAAGAAUAAUAAUGUUUCACAAUUGAUGGAAGUUUUCAAAUGCUUACUCAGGACUAAAAAAUCCCUAAAAUUGGGGAAUGUUUGUCAAUAAAUCCGUGGGAGAUGCUAAAAUGGGAGGUCUUCUCUUCUUCCAUUGGAGAUAUGAAAAACAAUGUCCUCUCUUCACCCAUGCCUUGCUAGACUAAAAGGAGAUAAAGUUUGAGCCACCAUUUCAUCAAAAGUAAUGUCGAAAGAAAUGUGAUGGUUUGUGUGGAUGGUGAUGAUUAGAGAAGAUUUGCUCCUUUUUUUAUAGAAGAAAAGUUGUACUUUAAGUGAGAG
This 785-nucleotide long non-coding RNA is filed under the name Vitis vinifera (wine grape). RNAcentral's name for it is "long non-coding RNA (VVIN_LNC005131)". The record is from RNAcentral. Lineage: Eukaryota; Viridiplantae; Streptophyta; Magnoliopsida; Vitales; Vitaceae.